This 497-nucleotide ribosomal RNA is filed under the name uncultured bacterium. Its description in RNAcentral is "bacterial SSU rRNA". It matches the Rfam family "Bacterial small subunit ribosomal RNA", at positions 30 to 504 of the family's 1533-position model. The record is from RNAcentral.
CGAACGCUGGCGGCGUGGAUUAGGCAUGCAAGUCGAACGGAGUGCUUAGCUUUUUCGAGUACUUAGUGGCGAAAGGGUGAGUAACACGUGGGUAACCUGCCCUUGGGCGCGGGAUAACCAAUCGAAAGAUUGGCUAAUACCGUAUACGUCCUGUGAUCUUCGGAUUACAGGGGAAAGAUGGGGAUUCGCAAGAACCUAUCGCCUUUGGAUGGGCCCGCGGCCUAUCAGCUAGUUGGUGAGGUAAUGGCUCACCAAGGCUAAGACGGGUAGCUGGUCUGAGAGGAUGGUCAGCCACACUGGGACUGAGACACUGCCCAGACACCUACGGGUGGCUGCAGUCGAGAAUCUUUCGCAAUGGGGGAAACCCUGACGAAGCGACGCCGCGUGCAGGAUGAAGGCCUUCGGGUUGUAAACUGCUGUCAGCUGGGAAGAAAGAGUUUUCAGUGAAUAAUUGAGAACUUUUGACGGUACCAGCAGAGGAAGCCACGGCUAACUCU